UAGGGAAUCUUGCGCAAUGGGCGAAAGCCUGACGCAGCAACGCCGCGUGGGGGACGAAUGCCUUCGGGUUGUAAACCCCUUUCAGCAGGGACGAAAUUGACGGUACCUGCAGAAGAAGCCCCGGCCAACUACGUGCCAGCAGCCGCGGUAAUACGUAGGGGGCGAGCGUUGUCCGGAUUCAUUGGGCGUAAAGAGCUCGUAGGCGGCUUGGCAAGUCGGGUGUGAAAACUCCAGGCUCAACCUGGAGACGCCACCCGAUACUGCUAUGGCUAGAGUCUGGUAGGGGAUCACGGAAUUCCUGGUGUAGCGGUGAAAUGCGCAGAUAUCAGGAGGAACACCAGUGGCGAAGGCGGUGAUCUGGGCCAGUACUGACGCUGAGGAGCGAAAGCGUGGGGAGCAAACAGGAUUAGAUACCCCUGUAGUCC
This 425-nucleotide ribosomal RNA is filed under the name uncultured bacterium. RNAcentral describes it as "bacterial SSU rRNA". It matches the Rfam family "Bacterial small subunit ribosomal RNA", at positions 355 to 796 of the family's 1533-position model. The record is from RNAcentral.